RNAcentral lists this transfer RNA (69 nucleotides) under Ictidomys tridecemlineatus (thirteen-lined ground squirrel). Its description in RNAcentral is "Spermophilus tridecemlineatus (thirteen-lined ground squirrel) tRNA". It matches the Rfam family "tRNA". Rfam says of the family: Transfer RNA (tRNA) molecules are approximately 80 nucleotides in length. Their secondary structure includes four short double-helical elements and three loops (D, anti-codon, and T loops). Lineage: Eukaryota; Metazoa; Chordata; Mammalia; Rodentia; Sciuridae. The record is from Rfam by way of RNAcentral.
GGUGUUGUAGCUCAAUGGUAGAGCGCUUGCCUCGAAUGAAUGAGGUCCUGGGUUUGAUCCUCAGCACUG